GACGAACGCUGGCGGCGUGCUCAACACAUGCAAGCCGAACGGAAAGGCCCUGCUUUUGUGGGGUGCUCGAGUGGCGAACGGGUGAGUAACACGUGAGUAACCUGCCCUUGACUUUGGGAUAACUUCAGGAAACUGGGGCUAAUAACGGAUAGGAGCUCCUGCUGCCUGGUGGGGGUUGGAAAGUUCCGGCGGUGGGGGAUGGACUAGCGGCUUAUCAGCUUGUUGGUGGGGUCGUGGCUUACCAAGUCUUUGACGGGUAGACGGCAUUAGAGGGUCAACGGCCACGUCGAGCCUGCAAAAGAGACAAAACACCGACAGGAGGCAGGAGAGUCGGAUCUUGCACAGUCUCAGGAAGCCUGAUGCAGCAACAACACGUACGGUAUGACUGACUUCCAGUAGUAAAACCAUUUCGCCUGUGACGAAGAGUGAGGUACAGUGAUGGGUAAAGAAGCACGGGCUAACUACGUG
Molecule: ribosomal RNA, 468 nt
Filed under: uncultured bacterium
Lineage: Bacteria
Description: partial 16S ribosomal RNA
Rfam family: Bacterial small subunit ribosomal RNA
Source: RNAcentral